UACGAAGGGGGCGAGCGUUGUUCGGAAUUACUGGGCGUAAAGGGCGCGCAGGCGGCCGAUCAAGUCAGGCGUGAAAGCCCCGGGCUUAACCUGGGAAUGGCGCUUGGGACUGGUUGGCUUGAGUUCGGGAGAGGAGAGUGGAAUUCCCAGUGUAGAGGUGAAAUUCGUAGAUAUUGGGAAGAACACCGGUGGCGAAGGCGGCUCUCUGGACCGAGACUGACGCUGAGGCGCGAAAGCGUGGGGAGCAAACAGG
Molecule: ribosomal RNA, 253 nt
Filed under: uncultured bacterium
Lineage: Bacteria
Description: partial 16S ribosomal RNA
Rfam family: Bacterial small subunit ribosomal RNA
Source: RNAcentral